RNAcentral lists this transfer RNA (82 nucleotides) under Spirochaetales bacterium. Its description in RNAcentral is "tRNA-Leu". It matches the Rfam family "tRNA". From Rfam's summary of the family: Transfer RNA (tRNA) molecules are approximately 80 nucleotides in length. Their secondary structure includes four short double-helical elements and three loops (D, anti-codon, and T loops). The record is from RNAcentral. Lineage: Bacteria; Pseudomonadati; Spirochaetota; Spirochaetia; Spirochaetales.
GCGAGAGUGGUGAAAUUGGCAGACACGCUAGACUUAGGAUCUAGUGCCGUAAGGUAUAAGGGUUCGAGUCCCUUCUCUCGCA